UACGUAGGGGGCAAGCGUUGUCCGGAAUCAUUGGGCGUAAAGAGCGUGUAGGCGGCCAGAAAAGUCCGCUGUGAAAACUCGAGGCUCAACUUCGAGCUGUCGGUGGAAACUUUCUGGCUAGAGUCCGGAAGAGGAGAAUGGAAUUCCUGGUGUAGCGGUGAAAUGCGCAGAUAUCAGGAAGAACACCUAUGGCGAAGGCAGCUCUCUGGGACGGUACUGACGCUGAGGCGCGAAAGCGUGGGGAGCGAACAGG
This 253-nucleotide ribosomal RNA is filed under the name uncultured bacterium. RNAcentral's name for it is "partial 16S ribosomal RNA". It matches the Rfam family "Bacterial small subunit ribosomal RNA", at positions 524 to 776 of the family's 1533-position model. The record is from RNAcentral.